GACGAACGCUGGCGGCGUGCUUAACACAUGCAAGUCGAGCGGUAAGGCCUCUUCGGGGGUACACGCGCGGCGAACGGGUGAGUAACACGUGGGUGACCUGCCCUCAGCUCUGGGAUAAGCCUGGGCAACUGGGUCUAAUACCGGAUAUGACCUUUCCUCGCAUGGGGUUUGGUGGAAAGUUUUUUCGGCUGGGGAUGGGCCCGCGGCCUAUCAGCUUGUUGGUGGGGUGAUGGCCUACCAAGGCGACGACGGGUAGCCGGCCUGAGAGGGCGACCGGCCACGCUGGGACUGAGACACGGCCCAGACUCCUACGGGAGGCAGCAGGGGGGAAGAUUGCGCAAUGGGCGGAAGCCUGACGCAGCGACGCCGCGUGGGGGAGGACGGCCGUCGGGUUGUAAACCUCUUUCGACCCCGACGAAUUUGGACGGUAGGGGUAGAAGAAGCACCGGCCAACUACGUG
Molecule: ribosomal RNA, 460 nt
Filed under: uncultured bacterium
Lineage: Bacteria
Description: partial 16S ribosomal RNA
Rfam family: Bacterial small subunit ribosomal RNA
Source: RNAcentral